RNAcentral lists this ribosomal RNA (2177 nucleotides) under human metagenome. RNAcentral's name for it is "bacterial LSU rRNA". It matches the Rfam family "Bacterial large subunit ribosomal RNA", at positions 835 to 2812 of the family's 2925-position model. The record is from RNAcentral.
AAACUCCGUGAUAGCUGGUUCUCCCCGAAAUGCAUUUAGGUGCAGCGUCGCGUGUUGCCCGGCGGAGGUAGAGCUACUGGGUGGCUGAUGGGCCCCACAGGGUUACUGACGUCAACCAAACUCCGAAUGCCGUGCGGGUUGUAGCGUGGCAGUGAGACUGCGGGGGAUAAGCUCCGUGGUCGAGAGGGAAACAGCCCAGAUCGCCGGCUAAGGCCCCUAAGCGUGUGCUAAGUGGGAAAGGAUGUGCGGUCGCGCAGACAACCAGGAGGUUGGCUUAGAAGCAGCCAUCCUUGAAAGAGUGCGUAAUAGCUCACUGGUCAAGUGAUCGUGCGCCGACAAUGUAGCGGGGCUCAAGCACACCGCCGAAGCCGCGGACCCAUGACAUGGUUCCCUUCACCGUCCGGCUUGCCCGGGUGGUGGCAGGGGUUGUGGGUGGUAGGGGAGCGUCCUGCACCGGGGGAAGCCUGUGGGUGACUGCUGGUGGACGGUGCGGGAGUGAGAAUGCAGGCAUGAGUAGCGAUACUAGGGUGAGAAGCCCUAGCGCCGAAUGACCAAGGGUUCCAGGGCCAGGCUAGUCCGCCCUGGGUGAGUCGGGACCUAAGGCGAGGCCGACAGGCGUAGUCGAUGGAUGACGGGUUGAUAUUCCCGUACCGGCGAAGCACCGCCCAUGCUGACGCGCGGGUGCUAACCCACGCCCAGCCGCCAUAUAGGCCGCAUGUGUCAGGUUCGCCUGACGGUGUGGUUGUGGUGGUGGGGUCUGGGGAUCCUCCGUGCAGGUAGGCAAGCGUGUUAACAGGGGUGACGCACAGUGGUAGCCCGGCGGACCUGAUGGCUUGGUCCGUUCAAGCGCGCAGCCCGUCCUCCAGGUAAAUCCGGAGUGACUGCCUCCUUGAGAGGUGAGGGUGAGGCGUGAUGGUGACCCCACGCUGGUGGGGGAUAACAGGGUGAUCCUGGGGUGCCGAGAAAAGCCUCGACGCGAUGGUGCCAGCCGCCCGUACCCUAAACCGACACAGGUGGUCGGGCAGAGUAUGCCUAGGCGCACGAGUGAAUCAUGGUUAAGGAACUCGGCAAAAUGCCCCCGUAACUUCGGGAGAAGGGGGGCCCGAACCCUGAGGCCCCGUGCGGGCUAGGGGGGUGGGUCGCAGAGACCAGGGGGAAGCGACUGUUUACUAAAAACACAGGUCCGUGCGAAGCCGUAAGGCGAUGUAUACGGACUGACGCCUGCCCGGUGCUGGAAGGUUAAGAGGAACCAUCAACCCUCGGGUGAAGUGGUGAAUUUAAGCCCCAGUAAACGGCGGUGGUAACUAUAACCAUCCUAAGGUAGCGAAAUUCCUUGUCGGGUAAGUUCCGACCUGCACGAAUGGCGUAACGACUUCCCCGCUGUCUCAACCAUGAGCUCGGCGAAAUUGCAGUACGAGUAAAGAUGCUCGUUUCGCGCAGAAGGACGGAAAGACCCCGGGACCUUUACUACAGCUUGGUAUUGGCGCCCGCUAUAGCUUGUGCAGGAUAGGUGGGAGACUGUGAAGCCGUUACGCCAGUAGCGGUGGAGUCGUCCUUGAAAUACCACUCUGGUUAUGGCGUGCGCCUGAACCUGGGCCCGUGAUCCGGGUUAGGGACAGUGCCUGGUGGGUAGUUUAACUGGGGCGGUUGCCUCCUAAAGUGUAACGGAGGCGCUCAAAGGUUCCCUCAGCCUGGUCGGCAACCAGGUGUUGAGUGCAAGUGCACAAGGGAGCUUGACUGUGAGACCGACGGGUCGAGCAGGUACGAAAGUAGGAACUAGUGAUCCGGCGAUCCCGUGUGGGUGGGUCGUCGCUCAACGGAUAAAAGGUACCCCGGGGAUAACAGGCUGAUCCUGCCCAAGAGUCCAUAUCGACGGCAUGGUUUGGCACCUCGAUGUCGGCUCGUCGCAUCCUGGGGCUGGAGCAGGUCCCAAGGGUUGGGCUGUUCGCCCAUUAAAGCGGUACGCGAGCUGGGUUUAGAACGUCGUGAGACAGUUCGGUCCCUAUCCUCUGCGCGCGCAGGAGACUUGAGAAGGCCUGUCCCUAGUACGAGAGGACCGGGACGGACGAACCUCUGGUGUGCCAGUUGUCCCGCCCGGGGCACGGCUGGUUGGCUACGUUCGGGAAGGGUAACCGCUGAAAGCAUCUAAGCGGGAAACCAUCUUCAAGAUAAGGUCU